Molecule: non-coding RNA, 2097 nt
Organism: Taeniopygia guttata (zebra finch)
Lineage: Eukaryota; Metazoa; Chordata; Aves; Passeriformes; Estrildidae
Source: RefSeq, a predicted model, not a curated record
GGCAUUUUAACACUGUUAUCUUCCAUUACUCCAGUUUUAAUACAGGUCAGGGGAGUUUUGUGUUAGAUUUUAAGUCUGACUGAUGAGGGAAUUGAUGUUGAGCUUCUGUAAGAAAUUUGUCUUGUAACAGUACAAAAUGUUGAUGAAGUAACUAAAACAAUACAAAACCACUGCAAAACACACUAAAUGGAUUAAGAAUUGGCUAACUUCAGGUCUUAAAUAUUAUUAUAACCAGAGAAAUUUUCUUAGAGUGGGUGUGUGCUUGGACAGAUCCCAUAGGGACUACUUCUUGGCUAAAUACUCUUGUAUUUUAUCAAAAACUUAGGAAAAAAAAUCCUUUAAAUCAUUAUCAACACAUUUUUCAGAUGAAAAAGGCUGGGAAAAUGGUCAAAAGAAGGAACCCAGGUCACUGAUAGCAACGGGUAAUUGGCAAUCUGAAGUUUUGUUUCCUGUGAAAUAUUUCUCAAGCAUAGACUGACUGAAGUGGGGCAGGGACUGAAUCUAUCCACAGAAGAACAAGUGCUGAGGACUUUAUCCUAAUUUUUAGAUGUAAAUAAAACUGCUGCAACUCUUCUCCAGCCCUAGAGAAUAGGUGUAGUCUGCACUGCAGAGAAAUUACAGAUAAACUUGAAAUUCCAGAAGCUCCACUGCCAAACUUCAUAAAUCAAAGCUACCAAUCAGGAGAGGGAUUCUGUUUGAUUUUCUAGAAAGAUGAAUGAACUCCUGUGUCCCAUGACUGCACCUGGUCAUGCUGCAGGGUCAGGUAAGUGUUGUACGGUACCACUGGGGCAGUGAUGCUGCAAACCCACACCAGAAAAUGCAGACUCAGUACUGGGAGAGCUCCCUCCAUGCCAUGUUUGGUUUCAGCCAGUUAAAUCCAGAACAGAAAUUGUCUUGUUUUUGUUUUGUUUUGUUUCCCACUGGGAAAUCUAGGAGGUUAUUAGCCUGCCUCUAAUUAACACAUUAACAUUUGUUUUGGAGGUCUUAGUUAAUAACAGCAACUCAUCAAGUGGGUCCCCCAGCUGCUGAUUUGUUUUUUUCACACCAGAUUUUUUACCUGAAAUUUUCUUCCUGAUCCUCUGUGUGUUUGCCAGUUUCCCUUGGAGCUUUAUUUAAGAAUUUCUUUGUGCUUUGUUAUGUUUAAUAAAUUAGAAAAACUGCAUUGGUGACUUGCCAUUCAGCUCCCACUCCACACACUGCCCAGAAAUGCUGAUAUAAUGUUUUAUCUUUUUUUUUUUUUUUUUAAUCCAAAAAGAAGCAGAGAUGUAUAAACAUUCACAUUUUGGUGCCUUUAAUGGUAUUUACUAUGUACUUUUCCUUCACCAAAGCCAGAGUACUGCAUAGAUUUUUUACCUAUGCAGUUGACUUCUUCAUCAGAGGUUGAUUUAGGUGAUUUAAAAAAAACCAACAUCCUCUUACAAUAAAGGAUGUUACUGUGUAUAAUGUGAAAUAUUUAGCAUCUUGCCAGUUUCUCUUUUCUUUUUCUCCCAAAUCCCUAUUUCAUCAGCACAGCUUGAAAUAGCCCUGCAGUUCAGAGCUAUCUGCUCAUUCUGGUUCCUUUAAUGAAUAUUUACCAUCCUGCAGAAAAGUGGAGGAUGCCUGGCUGCAGCUGUGCCCCCAAACACCGGAAAGAACUCUGUUCUCUUCAGAGCCAUUACCCCCAGCUUCAUCACUUAAUAGAAGGAAAGACAGUACACGCUACACUAUAAUGAAAUUUCCUAUUUUUUUGUUUAUACCAGGUUUAAUAAGCCCUGUAAAUUAAAUGAGGUAAUGGCAUGGACUGCUCAAAUAAUAGCAGUAGUAUUAAACUAAAUGUCUUCCCUCUAUAUUAAUAAUGCCAUAAUAAAUUAUAGGGGACAGUUGCCUUUUCCACCUACCAUCAACCUCUGUGUAGACAGAGCAGAUGAGAAAAUAAUUUUACAUUUCUACACAAGUUCUCAAGAAUCAGAAAAAAACAAGGAUCUUAGAAGACAAAGGAGCAAGUCACAACUUACAAAAGUUUAGCUGAGUAAAGAUUUGGGCUAAUUACCAGGGCUCUCCCUCACUUAAUUGAGAAAAAUAGGGGUAAUCAGACAGUGAUUUGUGGGUUUCUCAAUA